RNAcentral lists this ribosomal RNA (1548 nucleotides) under Neisseria gonorrhoeae. RNAcentral's name for it is "bacterial SSU rRNA". It matches the Rfam family "Bacterial small subunit ribosomal RNA". The record is from RNAcentral. Lineage: Bacteria; Pseudomonadati; Pseudomonadota; Betaproteobacteria; Neisseriales; Neisseriaceae.
AUUGAACAUAAGAGUUUGAUCCUGGCUCAGAUUGAACGCUGGCGGCAUGCUUUACACAUGCAAGUCGGACGGCAGCACAGGGAAGCUUGCUUCUCGGGUGGCGAGUGGCGAACGGGUGAGUAACAUAUCGGAACGUACCGGGUAGCGGGGGAUAACUGAUCGAAAGAUCAGCUAAUACCGCAUACGUCUUGAGAGGGAAAGCAGGGGACCUUCGGGCCUUGCGCUAUCCGAGCGGCCGAUAUCUGAUUAGCUGGUUGGCGGGGUAAAGGCCCACCAAGGCGACGAUCAGUAGCGGGUCUGAGAGGAUGAUCCGCCACACUGGGACUGAGACACGGCCCAGACUCCUACGGGAGGCAGCAGUGGGGAAUUUUGGACAAUGGGCGCAAGCCUGAUCCAGCCAUGCCGCGUGUCUGAAGAAGGCCUUCGGGUUGUAAAGGACUUUUGUCAGGGAAGAAAAGGCCGUUGCCAAUAUCGGCGGCCGAUGACGGUACCUGAAGAAUAAGCACCGGCUAACUACGUGCCAGCAGCCGCGGUAAUACGUAGGGUGCGAGCGUUAAUCGGAAUUACUGGGCGUAAAGCGGGCGCAGACGGUUACUUAAGCAGGAUGUGAAAUCCCCGGGCUCAACCCGGGAACUGCGUUCUGAACUGGGUGACUCGAGUGUGUCAGAGGGAGGUGGAAUUCCACGUGUAGCAGUGAAAUGCGUAGAGAUGUGGAGGAAUACCGAUGGCGAAGGCAGCCUCCUGGGAUAACACUGACGUUCAUGUCCGAAAGCGUGGGUAGCAAACAGGAUUAGAUACCCUGGUAGUCCACGCCCUAAACGAUGUCAAUUAGCUGUUGGGCAACUUGAUUGCUUGGUAGCGUAGCUAACGCGUGAAAUUGACCGCCUGGGGAGUACGGUCGCAAGAUUAAAACUCAAAGGAAUUGACGGGGACCCGCACAAGCGGUGGAUGAUGUGGAUUAAUUCGAUGCAACGCGAAGAACCUUACCUGGUUUUGACAUGUGCGGAAUCCUCCGGAGACGGAGGAGUGCCUUCGGGAGCCGUAACACAGGUGCUGCAUGGCUGUCGUCAGCUCGUGUCGUGAGAUGUUGGGUUAAGUCCCGCAACGAGCGCAACCCUUGUCAUUAGUUGCCAUCAUUCGGUUGGGCACUCUAAUGAGACUGCCGGUGACAAGCCGGAGGAAGGUGGGGAUGACGUCAAGUCCUCAUGGCCCUUAUGACCAGGGCUUCACACGUCAUACAAUGGUCGGUACAGAGGGUAGCCAAGCCGCGAGGCGGAGCCAAUCUCACAAAACCGAUCGUAGUCCGGAUUGCACUCUGCAACUCGAGUGCAUGAAGUCGGAAUCGCUAGUAAUCGCAGGUCAGCAUACUGCGGUGAAUACGUUCCCGGGUCUUGUACACACCGCCCGUCACACCAUGGGAGUGGGGGAUACCAGAAGUAGGUAGGGUAACCGCAAGGAGUCCGCUUACCACGGUAUGCUUCAUGACUGGGGUGAAGUCGUAACAAGGUAGCCGUAGGGGAACCUGCGGCUGGAUCACCUCCUUUCUAG